GGGUGUGAGAAUGGAUGCAAUAUGGUUGUUAUAUGUGAUGGCAAUUAUAUCUCAUAUAGGAGUCCUUCUUUUAUGAGUAUUAGAUUGAUUCAAAGUAUAUUUGAAUUAGGAGUCCUAUACUUAUUGGGUCAUAGGAAUCAUUUAUAAAUAGAGAGGGUCUCUACCUAUGGAUGCAUAGCAAACAAAUCAGAUUGAGAGAAGAG
Molecule: long non-coding RNA, 203 nt
Filed under: Elaeis guineensis (African oil palm)
Lineage: Eukaryota; Viridiplantae; Streptophyta; Magnoliopsida; Arecales; Arecaceae
Description: long non-coding RNA (EGUI_LNC059879)
Source: RNAcentral